GAGAGAGAGAGAGAGAGAGAAUGUACAAAUUUGAGAGACAGAUGAGAAACAUUUACAGUAUAUGGCCAAUUUCAAAAACAGAGCAACUCAAGCCGAGAAGAAUCCGGUGGAAGCAGCUCGCCCAAUUUGAGAUUUGGGUUCAAAAACCCAUUUGAAUUCCGACAUUUCUGAAUUCAGUUUUGCCAUUUCCAUCAUCUUCUUCAUCCUAAUCGAAGUAGCAGUUGCAGAGAUGGAAACCCCAGAAGCCAAAUCUUGAAGCUGUUGCUUCUCCAGAUCUUGCCUUGGAUUCUUCAUCCUCCUCUCGUAUUCCUCUGCUACAAGAAUUGCAAUAUCCGCCAUGGCUGUGAUGUUCGAAGC
RNAcentral lists this unclassified non-coding RNA (357 nucleotides) under Hevea brasiliensis (rubber tree). The record is from RNAcentral. Lineage: Eukaryota; Viridiplantae; Streptophyta; Magnoliopsida; Malpighiales; Euphorbiaceae.